This 426-nucleotide ribosomal RNA is filed under the name uncultured bacterium. RNAcentral's name for it is "bacterial SSU rRNA". It matches the Rfam family "Bacterial small subunit ribosomal RNA", at positions 355 to 796 of the family's 1533-position model. The record is from RNAcentral.
UUAGGAAUUUUCCGCAAUGGGCGCAAGCCUGACGGAGCAACGCCGCGUGAGUGAUGAAGACCCUUGGGUUGUAAAGCUCUGUCGGAGGGGAAGAAAUAAUGACGGUACCCUCCAAGAAAGCCCCGGCUAACUACGUGCCAGCAGCCGCGGUAAUACGUAGGGGGCAAGCGUUAUCCGGAUUUACUGGGCGUAAAGCGCGUUAAGGCGGCCGGCAAAGUUGGUGGUGAAAGUUCAGGGCUCAACCCUGAAAUUGCCUCCAAUACUGGUUGGCUAGAGUGCGAGAGAGGAAGGUGGAAUUCCCGGUGUAGUAGUGAAAUGCGUAGAUAUCGGGAGGAACACCAGUAGCGAAGGCGGCCUUCUGGCUCGUAACUGACGCUGUAGCGCGAAAGCGUGGGGAGCGAACGGGAUUAGAUACCCCCGUAGUCC